RNAcentral lists this ribosomal RNA (492 nucleotides) under uncultured bacterium. Its description in RNAcentral is "partial 16S ribosomal RNA". It matches the Rfam family "Bacterial small subunit ribosomal RNA", at positions 29 to 507 of the family's 1533-position model. The record is from RNAcentral.
AGUGAACGCUGGCGGUAGGCCUAACACAUGCAAGUCGAACGGCAGCACAGUAAGAGCUUGCUCUUACGGGUGGCGAGUGGCGGACGGGUGAGGAAUACAUCGGAAUCUACUUUUUCGUGGGGGAUAACGUAGGGAAACUUACGCUAAUACCGCAUACGAUCUACGGGUGAAAGCAGGGGAUCUUCGGACCUUGCGCGAAUGAAUGAGCCGAUGUCGGAUUGGCUAGUUGGCUGGGUAAAGGCCCACCAAGGCGACGAUCCGUACCUGGUCUGAGAGGAUGAUCGCCCAAACUGGAACUUGAACACGGACCAAACUCCUACGGGAGGACGCAGAGGGGAAUAUUGGACAGUGGGCGCAAGCCUGAUCCAGCCAUACCGCGUGGGUGAAGAAGGCCUUCGGGUUGUAAAGCCCUUUUGUUGGGAAAGAAAAGCGGCAGGUUGAUACCCCGCUGUUCUGACGGUACCCAAAGAAUAAGCACCGGCUAACUACGUG